AUGCCUAGGAAGGAGCGCGACGCCGAGGGCAGCCGGAGCUCGUCGCGGCGGCGGCGGCGGCGGUCGCCGUCCGACUCGGACUCCGACUCCGACUCCGACUCCGGCGGCUCGCCCCGCCGGGGCCGGAGCCGCCACCGCCGCAGGAGCCGCCGCAAGGCCGCCCCGUCCUCCUCCUCCUCCUCCAGCGGCGCGAGUGAUUCGCAGGCGUCCGGCUCCGGCUCCGACUCCGGGGACCGCCGGAGGAGGCGGAGCGGGAGCGCCAAGCGCGGGGGCGUCACCGAGGAGCAGAUCCUGGAGUACAUGUCCAAGAAGGCGCAGAAGAAGGCCGAGAAGGUGGCCAAGAAGAUGAAGGCCAACGCGGUGUCGGGCUACUCCAACGAUUCCAACCCUUUUGGCGAUCCCAACCUCACAGAGAACUUUGUUUGGCGAAAGAAGAUUGAUCGCGCUGUAACUGAAGGGCAGAAGGUGGACAUUUCUGUCAAAGCUGAAAAGAAAAAGCAGAGGGAAAGAAUGGCUGAAAUAGAGAAGGUUAAGAAAAGAAGGGAGGAAAGAGCAAUUGAAAAAGCACAGCAUGAGGAGGAAAUGGCAUUGUUAGCCAGAGAAAGAGCACGUGCUGAGUUUCAAGAUUGGGAGAAGAAAGAGGAAGAGUUUCAUUUUGAUCAAAGCAAAUUUAGGUCUGAGAUCAGGUUACGGGAGGGACGUACAAAGCCUAUAGAUGUUCUCCUGAAGAAUCUUAACUUUGCAGACGAAUUUGAUGUUGAGUUAAAUGAGCCCUACUUGGUGUUCAAGGGAUUAACAGUGAAGGAGAUGGAAGAGUUACGUGAUGACAUUAAGAUGCAUCUCGAUCUGGACAGGGAAAGCCAAGUAAAUGUCAAGUACUGGGAGGCACUCAUGAUAGUGUGUGAUUGGGAGCUAGGUGAGGCUCGGAAAAGAGAUGCCGUGGACCGGGCUAGGGUGCGCGGUGAGGAACCACCCCGUGAGGUUGAAGAGAGAGGCUUGCAUGCAAGUAUUGAGGGGGAUGUAAAAGAUCUCUUGGAGGGCAAAACUUCCACAGAGCUAGAAGAGAUGCAAAAUCAAAUUGAGUCCCAGAUGCGCUCUGGAACUGCAAAAGUUGUUGAGUACUGGGAGGCCAUUCUGAAACGCCUUCAUAUAUACAAAGCAAAGGCUUGCCUGAGGGAAAUCCAUGCUUCUCUCUUACGGAAGCAUCUGCAUCGUCUAGAGAAUGCUGGCGCUCCUGAACAGGCUGUAGAAGCUGAUGAAGAAUUAGACACUAAAGAGGAGGAUGUGAUGCAUGACGAGGAAGAAGAUGAUAAACGAUAUUCACCAGAACCUAUAGAACAUAUAGCUGAAGCAACAGAGAGCCAUUUGAAUGAGGAAGAUGGCUCCUUCUCGCCUGAGCUAAUGCAUGGCAAUGAAGAUGAAGAUGCAAUUGAUCCUGACGAGGACAAGGCAGAACUGGAUCGGCAACGUGAAGCUGUAGUUACCGAGCAUCAGAGGAAAGUUAAGGAGGUCAUGACAGCUAAGGCAAAAAAACCAGAUGAGUUGGAGCUGAAGGCAAUGAAAGCGAUGGGAGCAAUGGAGGAAGGGGACGCUGUAUUUGGUUCAGGUGCUGAAGUGAACCUGGAUUCACAGGUGUACUGGUGGCAUGACAAGUACCGACCAAGGAAACCGAAGUACUUCAAUCGUGUGCAUACUGGAUAUGAGUGGAACAAAUACAAUCAAACUCAUUAUGAUCACGACAACCCGCCCCCUAAAAUUGUCCAGGGCUACAAGUUCAACAUAUUUUACCCUGAUCUUGUGGAUAAAUCAAAAGCACCAAUAUACACUAUAGAGAAAGAUGGAAGCGCUGGGGAGACAUGCCAUAUAAGGUUUCAUGCUGGCCCUCCAUACGAGGAUAUUUCUUUCCGCAUCGUGAACAAGGAGUGGGAGUACUCACACAAGAAGGGCUUCAAGUGCACGUUUGAGCGUGGGAUUCUUCAUCUGUAUUUCAACUUCAAGCGAUACCGCUACAGGCGAUAG
This 2019-nucleotide ribosomal RNA is filed under the name Triticum aestivum (bread wheat). Its description in RNAcentral is "partial small subunit ribosomal RNA". Lineage: Eukaryota; Viridiplantae; Streptophyta; Magnoliopsida; Poales; Poaceae. The record is from RNAcentral.